Molecule: long non-coding RNA, 390 nt
Organism: Rhinichthys klamathensis goyatoka
Lineage: Eukaryota; Metazoa; Chordata; Actinopteri; Cypriniformes; Leuciscidae
Exons: 3
Source: RefSeq, a predicted model, not a curated record
GAGGAGUUCUGUGUGGCUAGGGUGUUGCUAGGGUGUUUUGUGUGGUUGCUAAGGUAUUGCCAAGGUGUUCUGUGUGGUCGCUAGAGUGUUCCUGGGGUGUUCUGUGUGGCUAGGCUGUUGCUAGGGUGUUCUCUUUGGCUAUGGUGUUGCUAAGGUGUUCUGUGUAGUUGAUAGGGUGUUGCUAAGGUGUUCUGUGUAGUUGCUAGGGUGUUGCUAAGGUGUUCUGUGUGAACAGGUGAAAAUGUUGCAUCUGAUCACUUAGUAAAGUAGCAGCAAACUCUCCUCAGCAACACACGAUACGUACAUGUGCAGACGAGAUUUACAGACGCACACUAACGCCAGACAUCACACGCCUGACAGCUUCAAUACAUCACACACAACUAACAAGGG